UACGUAGGGUGCAAGCGUUAAUCGGAAUUACUGGGCGUAAAGCGUGCGCAGGCGGUUUUGUAAGUCAGAUGUGAAAUCCCCGGGCUUAACCUGGGAACUGCGUUUGAAACUACAAGGCUAGAGUGUGGCAGAGGGGGGUGGAAUUCCACGUGUAGCGGUGAAAUGCGUAGAGAUGUGGAGGAACACCGAUGGCGAAGGCAGCCCCCUGGGCUAACACUGACGCUCAUGCACGAAAGCGUGGGGAGCAAACAGG
This 253-nucleotide ribosomal RNA is filed under the name uncultured bacterium. RNAcentral's name for it is "partial 16S ribosomal RNA". It matches the Rfam family "Bacterial small subunit ribosomal RNA", at positions 524 to 776 of the family's 1533-position model. The record is from RNAcentral.